Long non-coding RNA from Cylas formicarius (sweet potato weevil), 2342 nucleotides. RefSeq lists it as uncharacterized. Lineage: Eukaryota; Metazoa; Arthropoda; Insecta; Coleoptera; Brentidae. The transcript is spliced from 3 exons. The record is from RefSeq and is a predicted model, not a curated record.
AUUUAGAUGCUGUCAUUGCUUUUCUUUAUGUUUCUUAGAACAAGCAACAAAAAAAAUUGUAAAAUAAAAAUAUUUAAAAUGUGAAAAUUUAAGUAAAACAAAAAUUAAAAUUUUAAUUUUUUUAAAUUAGCAAUAUUUGCUAUUUCUAAACUUAUCGUUUUUCUACCGGCAACACCGACUUUCGUUUUUUUCUUUGUUUAGAAACUCAACGAGAUGAAGUUUGCAAUACGGGUUCUUUUAAGCACAUAGUUAACUUAUGUGUUUUUAAACAAAAUUUGUAAGUGGGGGCCCGAAAAAUUACGCAUAUGUUGUGUUUUCUGCUACGACAGGGGAAGAAAGCAUAAUAUGUAAAGAUUUUUCUAUUUUAACCAAAAAAAAAAUCAAAACAUAAGAAAUGGGCCAUCUGGAAAUUCCUGCAAAUAACUCAUUACGAGAUUAAGCAGAUGAGGAGAUACAUAAUCAUAAUUACUAUUUGAUGCAAUACAUUUCAUAUUUUGAACAGGUUAAUAACUUAGCCAUAAUGGGAGGAUUCGAUUUUUAAUUUAGAUGUAAUAGACAAACGAAAUAGUUGUAAUAUUGACGUAUCAUAGUUGGACUGGGGACAAAAUAAUGUUUCAAAGAAGGGACUUUUUGCCAAUAACAAAAAUUUUAGUGGAAAAUAUCAACCCAAAACAGUGAGACGGACGUAGAAUUUAAAUACCUUUUUGGCGAUGUUCGUGUCGAAUACAUGUAUUACGAAAAGUAUAUAUUUGGUUUAGACUUUCGUACCUAUUAUACCAUCGUAUUUCUAUUCAGAGAGUCCGUUAUUGAUUUUCUCAAAAAAUCCGAGCAGAUUGUCUCGAUUCUUACCCACCUGCUCCAGCCAAGGCUAUAAUAUGGGUACAAUAGCUGUUUAUUGGUCAACUGUAAAUACUGUAUCAUGUUUGUGGUUUUGCAAGUGAUCUUAAAUUUGCCUCGUGGCAGAGGGGUGCCGACUAUCGGUUUAUUAUAUUUUCGGGGUAUAGAAUUUUGGGCUAAGGUAAGUAAAGUCUGUUCAUACAUAUAAGAAAGUGACUAACUGAUAUGAAUCAAGGAAAGACCCGGGCAAGCUGUAGGAAUGAAAUAUGGCCGAACAGGUCCGUACUUUGCUUAAAAUUUAAUUAUUUGGGGUUUUGUUAGGAAAAAUACUAAACAAUAUUUAGGUAUAAAAUUAUUUUCUAUUACAGACCACAAUUUUACCUGAAUUGAAAUUCCGAAACUUUAGGUAAUAAUCUUGUUGCAUUGUAUGUUAAUGAACACCCUUGGAUAAUGCCAUUCAAAAGCAAUUGGUCACUUUCUUAUAUCUACGAACAGACCAUACCCUACGCAACAAAAUAUUGAAGGAUCUUCAGGAUCCUACCAGUGAGCGAGUAGAAAAUUAUUUGCAAAGAGGGUAAAGGUAAAUCGUAAUAUAAAUUGUUUAUAUAUUAUUCCACUGUUGAUAAUGUGUGUCCUUUUAAAAUAGCGCUUUAUUUGACCCGUACUUUUUUCUUGUCAGAGCUUGUCUAAAAACCGAGAUGGAGGUACUCCGUCAGGUUUUUUCCUGUCGAAAUAAGUAUGUUAUAAAAAGGUAACAAUUAGGUGUUCUCUUUUGGGGAACGGGUGGGGGUUAUACGUUUAUAAGUUAUAAGAAAUUAAAAUUUUAUUCAGUUUCCACUGAUACAAUUUUGUGAUAAGUGCUGAGUGAGAAAAUGUCUUAAGUCGAAAAUUAUCAAACGCAAGCAUUGGAUUCGUGGGGAAGAUUUGUGGUCAAUGCGGAAAUAAUCCGCGAACAAAAAUACAUUUACGAGGCAGCAAUUACGCUGUCGGAGUUCGGACUAGAAAUUACCUCAGGUCUUAGUCCUGCAAGAAUCUUCGUUCCAGCAGUGAAAGUGAGCUUUCUCCCCUUCGCUUUUCCGGUGAAAAGAAGCAUUUCCGUCGACGAGAUAGAGCUCACAGAAUUUAUACAACAGCUUCCACUGAUAUUGUCAACAGGGCCAACUGGUAAAAUUAUGUAUUUAACUUGGUCCAAACUCAGCUGUCUACAAUGCGAUGGUGAAGUUAUGGUCUAGGUUGAAAAUGGUUAUAUUUCGAAAGACUGGGUACCAUAAGCAACUUGGUAUUUAAAAAAAUAGGAGUACUGUCUCGUUUGUACUUUUUUGAACUGGAAAACACCAAAAUCUUUCCGUAUAUAGAAUAUUUAUGUUCUGCAGAAGAGAGUGAGCAGAGCCACUGCAUGGCGGACAACAUGCGUUUUGGAAAAAUGCAAAUAAUGCAAGAUAUCGACAGAAGGACAUUAUGGGAAAUACAUGUGUUAAAUAGAGAUUUACCUAUAAGCUAAUAAU